RNAcentral lists this ribosomal RNA (3061 nucleotides) under uncultured Acidimicrobiales bacterium. RNAcentral describes it as "LSU rRNA". It matches the Rfam family "Bacterial large subunit ribosomal RNA". The record is from RNAcentral. Lineage: Bacteria; Bacillati; Actinomycetota; Acidimicrobiia; Acidimicrobiales.
GUUCUCCAAGCUAUAAAGAGCCAACGGUGAAUGCCUUGGCGCCUGAUGCCGAAGAAGGACGUAGGUGGCUGCGAUAAGCCGCGGGGAGCUGCCGACCGAGCGUCGAUCCGCGGAUGUCCGAAUGGGGAAACCCGGCACCCGUCAUGGGGUGUCACCCCUGCAUGAACGCAUAGUGCAGGAGGAGGGAACCGGGGGAAUUGAAACAUCUCAGUACCCCGAGGAAAAGAAAGCAACAGCGACUCCCUGAGUAGCGGCGAGCGAAACGGGAUCAGCCUAAACCGAGCUGGUGGCAAGCCUGGUGGCAUUGCCAGCCCGGGGUCGUGGGACCGACAGCAGGGGCACCAGACCCUGCAAGGAGUUACAAAGCUCAUGCAUAGCGGAACGGUUUUGGAACGUCCGGCCACAGCGGGUAAGAGCCCCGUACGCGAAAUGUAUGAGCCUCCUGUCGUCAUCCCGAGUAGCGCCGGGACCGUGAAAACCGGCGUGAAUCUGCGGAGACCACUCCGUAAGGCUAAGUACAAGCAGGCGACCGAUAGUGAACUAGUACCGUGAGGGAAAGGUGAAAAGCACCCCGGGAGGGGAGUGAAAUAGUACCUGAAACCGUUGGCUUACAAACAGUCAGAGCGUCGUCGGCCCUCGUGGCCGGCCGUGAUGGCGUGCCUUUUGAAGAAUGAGCCUACGAGUUACCGUACGUGGCAAGGUUAACCUGAGAAGGGGAGCCGGAGCGAAAGCGAGUCUGAAUAGGGCGAUGUAGUCGCGUGCGGUAGACCCGAAGCCGGGUGAUCUACCCAUGGCCAGGCUGAAGCGAGGGUAAGACCUCGUGGAGGGCCGAACCCACCAUGGUUGAAAACAUGGGGGAUGAGCUGUGGGUAGGGGUGAAAGGCCAAGCAAACCCGGUGAUAGCUGGUUCUCCCCGAAAUGUAUUUAGGUACAGCGUCGGAUGUUCAGCAUCGGAGGUAGAGCACUGGAAGGGUUAGGGGGCCUACAAGCUUACCGACCCCUACCAAACUCCGAAUGCCGAUGCUCCAGAGUCCGGCAGUGAGACCACGAGGGAUGAGCUUCGUUGGUCGAAAGGGAAACAGCCCAGAUCGCCGGCUAAGGCCCCUAAUUCUGGACUAAGUGGUAAACGAUGUGGGACUGCACAGACAGCCAGGAGGUUGGCUUAGAAGCAGCCAUCCUUGAAAGAGUGCGUAAUAGCUCACUGGUCGAGUGGUCCUGCGCGGACAAUGUAACGGGGCUCAAGUCCAGAGCCGAAGCCGCGGAUUGCACGCGAGUGCAGUGGUAGGGGAGCGUCGACCUCGCAGUGAAGCGGCGGUGUGAACCGUUGUGGAGCGUGGUCGAGUGAGAAUGUAGGCAUGAGUAGCGAGAGAGGGGUGAGAAACCCCUCCGCCGAAAGCCCAAGGGUUCCUGGGGAAGGCUAAUCCGCCCAGGGUGAGUCGGGAGCUAAGGCGAGGCCGAAAGGCGUAGUCGAUGCACAACUGGUUGAUAUUCCAGUACCGCCGUGUCCGCGUCCAUCCCAAUCCACGGGUACUAAGGGGCUGUCUUCGGACGAACCGACCGACCGUGGGGCGGGCAGCAAAGGAGGGACGCAGGAGGGUAGGUGAUCCCAGGCGUUGGUUGUCCUGGGGUAAGCGAGUAGGGCGGGGCCCAGGGAAAUCCGGUCCCCAUCAAGCCUGAGACGCGAUGCCGAGUCGUCUAGACGAAGUCACUGAUCCCAUGCUGCCAAGAAAAGCUUCUAGCGAGUUGGCACGGCGCCCGUACCCGAAACCGACGCAGGUGGGCAGGUAGAGAAUACCAAGGCGAUUGGGAGAACUGUGGUUAAGGAACUCGGCAAAAUACCUCCGUAACUUCGGGAGAAGGAGGGCCCCGGCAGGGUGGAGCGCCUCGCGCGCCGAGCCUGAGGGGGCCGCAGUGACCAGGGGGAAGCGACUGUUUACUAAAAACACAGGAGCGUGCGAAGCCCUAAGGCGAUGUAUACGCUCUGACGCCUGCCCAAUGCCGGAAGGUUACGGGGAACGGUUAGCCGCAAGGCGAAGCUGUGAACCUAAGCCCCGGUGAAUGGCGGCCGUAACUAUAACGGUCCUAAGGUAGCGAAAUUCCUUGUCGGGUAAGUUCCGACCUGCACGAAUGGCGUAACGACUUCCCUACUGUCUCAACCACAGACCCAGCGAAAUUGAAGUACGAGUAAAGAUGCUCGUUAGGUGCGGUAGGACGGAAAGACCCCGUGGACCUUUACUACAACUUGGUGUUGGGUUUUGGUACGGAUCGUGUAGGAUAGGUGGGAGCCUAGGAAGCUGUGGCGCCAGCCAUGGUGGAGGCAACGUUGAAAUACCACCCUUUUCGUGCUGGGACUCUAACCUCGACCCGUUAUCCGGGUCAGGAACAGCGCCAGGCGGGUAGUUUGACUGGGGCGGUCGCCUCCUAAAGUGUAACGGAGGCGCCCAAAGGUUCCCUCAGACUGGUCGGCAAUCAGUCGUCGAGUGCAAAGGCACAAGGGAGCUUGACUGCGAGACAGACUCGUCGAGCAGGUGCGAAAGCAGGGCUUAGUGAUCCAGCGGCUCCAUGUGGAAGGGCCGUUGCUCAACGGAUAAAAGGUACCCCGGGGAUAACAGGCUAAUCUUGCCCAAGAGUCCAUAUCGACGGCAAGGUUUGGCACCUCGAUGUCGGCUCGUCGCAUCCUGGGGCCGUAGCAGGUCCCAAGGGUUGGGCUGUUCGCCCAUUAAAGCGGCACGCGAGCUGGGUUUAGAACGUCGUGAGACAGUUCGGUCCCUAUCCACCGCACCCGUAGGAAUCCUGAGGAAGGCUGUCCCUAGUACGAGAGGACCGGGACGGACGCAGCUCCCGUGUGGCAGUUGUCACGCCAGUGGCACCGCUGCUUUGCGGCCUGCGGAAGGGAUAAGCGCUGAAAGCAUCUAAGUGCGAAGCCUGUUCCAAGAUGAGGAUUCCCACAGGGUCAACCUGGUAAGGCCCGUGGCCAGAUGACCACGUUGAUAGGCCGGAGGUGUACGCACAGCAAUGUGUUCAGCCGACCGGUACUAAUCGGCCGAGGGCUUGGGAACAA